GAAGCUGAGCAGAAGCAAGGAGAGGCAUUGCGGCGGAAACGUCUCAAGCUGUGCAAAAAGGUUGGAUUUUGUGGCUGUUUUUUGGCCGUUUGAUUGCCUAUUUUGCAUAAUGUAUAGCUUGUUUACCACUCAUUGGAUUUUGAUAGUUGGUUGAUUUGGUUUUUAAUCUCAUUGUUGCGAAAAGUUGGUGUCUUUGCAAGAGGAAUUACAUUGAAUUAUGUUACUACUCUUUGGAUUCUGUGAGUGAUUUUUAUAUAUACCCCGAUUUUGUAUAUAUAAAUUGGUACAAGUUAUUAGGUUCUUCAAAUAUUGGCUGCCUUUCAAUGUUUAGAACUAACCCAACUUAAAUAAUGAAUAAUUUCUCUUUAGUUCUUGAGUGCCCUGCCUUUCUUUCAUCUGGAUCGUAGAACAGAAUAUUAGGAUAUGGCCUUCUCAGAAUCUAGAAUAUGUUUCUAGCACAGUGGAUGUUUUCAGGAUUUUGUUUUACCUCCACCAUGUGCCAUCAACAAGUUUAUUAGUAUAAACGUGUAGGAUAUGUAAUCUAUGUUCUGUUAUCUGCCACUUUAAAUCUUACUUCAUUUUGUUUGUAUUCGGUUUUAAUUAUUAUGCGUUCAAUUGUUCCAGGGGAAUUCUAUAUCGACUACAAAGUACAACUUCAUUACAUUUUUGCCGAAAGGACUCUUUGAACAGGUAAUUCACGGGCCUUCAAUGAAUUUGAUUUUAGUUUUCAAUCAAUCUGCUUGCUGAUGCAGUUCGAAGCUUAUCUGAUUUUUUGUGAUGAAGUGUAGUUAUAUCAUUUUGCUAUGCGUUAUGCAUAAACAAAUUGACUAGAGUGUAUGUAUGCAGUGUGUGUGUGUAGUGUAGUUAUAUCAUUUUAUUUUGUCAUGGUCCUGAGAAGUUGUUACACUGCCAGUGUGUAUGUAUGCAGUGUGUGUGUGUAGUGUAUGUAGUGUGUGUGUGUAGUGUAUGUAGUGUGUGUAUGUAUGUACUGUGUUUGCAGUGUGUAUGUAUGCAGUGUGUGUGUGUGUAGUGUGUUUGCAGUGUGUGUGUGCAGGGUGUAUGCAGUGUGUGUGUACUUGCAGGGUAUGUGUGUAGUGUAUGUUUGCAGUGUGUAUGUAUGCAGUGUGUGUGUGUAGUGUGUUUGCAGUGUGUGUGUGCAGGGUGUAUGCAGUGUGUAUGUAUGCAGUGUGUGUGUGUAGUGUAUGUAGUGUGUGUAGUGUAUGUAGUGUGUGUAGUGUAUGUAGUGUGUGUAUAUGUGUAAUGUUUGCAGUGUGUAUGUAUGCAGUGUGUGUGUGUAGUGUGUUUGCAGUGUGUGUGUGCAGGGUGUAUGCAGUGUGUAUGUAUGCAGUGUGUGUGUGUAGUGUAUGUAGUGUGUGUAGUGUAUGUAGUGUGUGUAUAUGUGUAGUGUUUGCAGUGUGUAUGUAUGCAGUGUGUGUGUGUGUAGUGUGUUUGCAGUGUGUAUGUAUGCAGGGUGUAUGCAGUGUGUGUGUACUUGCAGGGUGUGUGUGUAGUGUAUGCAGUGUGUGUGUGUAGUGUAUGUAGUGUGUGUAUGCACUGUAUGCAGUGUGUGUAUGUAUGUAUGCAGUGUGUGUAUGUAUGUAUGCAGUGUGUGUGUGUACUUGGUUUAUAACCAUGAUAUUACAAUGUGAAUGUUUUGUAUUGUGUGGGGUUGAUGCUGAA
Molecule: long non-coding RNA, 1680 nt
Filed under: Malus domestica (apple)
Lineage: Eukaryota; Viridiplantae; Streptophyta; Magnoliopsida; Rosales; Rosaceae
Description: long non-coding RNA (MDOM_LNC009282)
Source: RNAcentral